RNAcentral lists this small RNA (446 nucleotides) under Pelobates cultripes (western spadefoot toad). Lineage: Eukaryota; Metazoa; Chordata; Amphibia; Anura; Pelobatidae. The record is from RNAcentral.
GGUGACACAGUGACAGAGUUAGGAGGGAGUGACUAGUGACAGAGGGAUGGGGUGACUAGUGACAGUCACCCCCUCCCUCACUCUGUCACUAGUCACUCACUCUGUCACCUGUCACUCCCUCACUCUGUCACUAGAGUGAGGGGGUGACUAGUGACAGAGUGAGGGAAGGGGUGACUAGUGGCAGAGUGAGGGAAGGGGUGACUAGUGGCACAGUGAGGGAAGGAAGGGGUGACUAGUGACAGAGUGAGGGAGGUGGUGACUGUCACUAGUCACCACCUCCCUCACUGUCACUACUCCCUCCCUCCUUCUGUCACUAGUCACUUCCUCCCUCACUCUGUCACAUGUCAUCCCCUCCCUCACUCUGUCACCAGUCAUCCCCUUCCCUCACUCUGUCACCCCCUCACUCUGUCACUAGUCACCCCCUCACUCUAGUGACAGAGUGAGGG